AAAAAAUUAAGGCAACCAAGAAAAAAAAUAAUAUGAGAACAAUUCAAUGGAAAUAUGAAGGUAUGCUAAAGCAAUGGGAUAAAGAAAUAUCUGCAGCGAAACUAUUCAACCUGACUUAAUAAUGCAUGAACCUACUGAUUAAUGCAUGUGAAUUUCAAUUGCUCUCUCUAUUUUCUUUUCUGGAAUCAUGCAGUUAUUAAACAAAUCAUGCAUUUGGAGAGUUCCUCUCUGUGUGUGCGUCCUCUUCCAAUAUCAUGCAGUCCUAAAAAGUAACAAAGUAUUUGGAGAGCUAAGAAGUGGGAUCUGGUUAAUUCCAUGUCUUAAAAGCCAAGACAUAGAUUAGGACCAUUAUUAUGUGCUAUUAUU
Molecule: unclassified non-coding RNA, 366 nt
Filed under: Hevea brasiliensis (rubber tree)
Lineage: Eukaryota; Viridiplantae; Streptophyta; Magnoliopsida; Malpighiales; Euphorbiaceae
Source: RNAcentral